GACGGAGGAUGCAAGUGUUAUCCGGAAUCACUGGGCGUAAAGCGUCUGUAGGUGGUUCCAAAAGUCCACUGUUAAAGAUUGAAGCUUAACUUCAAAAAUGCCGUGGAAACUUUGAAACUUGAGUAUGAUAGGGGUAGAGGGAAUUUCCAGUGGAGCGGUGAAAUGCGUAGAUAUUGGAAAGACCACCAAUGGCGAAGGCACUCUACUGGGCCAUUACUGACACUGAGAGACGAAAGCUAGGGGAGCAAAUGGG
This 253-nucleotide ribosomal RNA is filed under the name uncultured bacterium. Its description in RNAcentral is "partial 16S ribosomal RNA". It matches the Rfam family "Bacterial small subunit ribosomal RNA", at positions 524 to 776 of the family's 1533-position model. The record is from RNAcentral.